AUUGAACGCUGGCGGAAUGCUUUACACAUGCAAGUCGAGCGGCAGCGCGGGGCAACCUGGCGGCGAGCGGCGAACGGGUGAGUAAUACAUCGGAACGUGCCCAGACGUGGGGGAUAACUACUCGAAAGAGUGGCUAAUACCGCAUACGAUCUAAGGAUGAAAGCGGGGGAUCGCAAGACCUCGCGCGUUUGGAGCGGCCGAUGGCAGAUUAGGUAGUUGGUGGGGUAAAGGCUUACCAAGCCCGCGAUCUGUAGCUGGUCUGAGAGGAUGAUCAGCCACACUGGGACUGAGACACGGCCCAGACUCCUACGGGAGGCAGCAGUGGGGAAUUUUGGACAAUGGGCGAAAGCCUGAUCCAGCCAUUCCGCGUGCAGGAUGAAGGCCCUCGGGUUGUAAACUGCUUUUGUACAGAACGAAAAAGACUCUUUCUAAUACAGAGAGUCCAUGACGGUACUGUAAGAAUAAGCACCGGCUAACUACGUGCCAGCAGCCGCGGUAA
Molecule: ribosomal RNA, 499 nt
Filed under: uncultured bacterium
Lineage: Bacteria
Description: bacterial SSU rRNA
Rfam family: Bacterial small subunit ribosomal RNA
Source: RNAcentral